UACAGAGGGGGCGAGCGUUGUUCGGAAUUACUGGGCGUAAAGGGCGCGUAGGCGGCCCGCUAAGUCGAACGUGAAAUCCCCAGGCUCAACCUGGGAACUGCGUCCGAUACUGGCAGGCUUGAAUCCGGGAGAGGGAUGUGGAAUUCCAGGUGUAGCGGUGAAAUGCGUAGAUAUCUGGAGGAACACCGGUGGCGAAGGCGCACACCUGGCCCGAUACUGACGCUGAGGCGCGAAAGCUAGGGGAGCAAACGGG
Molecule: ribosomal RNA, 253 nt
Filed under: uncultured bacterium
Lineage: Bacteria
Description: partial 16S ribosomal RNA
Rfam family: Bacterial small subunit ribosomal RNA
Source: RNAcentral